AGAGGGUGCGAGCGUUAAUCGGAAUUACUGGGCGUAAAGGGCGCGUAGGUGGGAUGAUAAGUUGGUUGUGAAAUUCCUGGGCUUAACCUAGGGCGGUCAAUCAAAACUAUGAUUCUAGAGUACGGUAGAGGGAAGUAGAAUUUCCGGUGUAGCGGUGAAAUGCGUAGAGAUCGGAAGGAAUAUCGGUGGCGAAGGCGGCUUCCUGGACUGAUACUGACACUGAGGCGCGAAAGCGUGGGUAGCGAACAGGAUUAGAUACCCUGGUAGUCCACGCUGUAAACGAUGAGAACUAGCCGUUGGGACCCUUAGAGGUUUUAGUGGCGCAGCAAACGCGAUAAGUUCUCCGCCUGGGGGAGUACGGCCGCAAGGCUA
Molecule: ribosomal RNA, 372 nt
Filed under: uncultured organism
Description: partial 16S ribosomal RNA
Rfam family: Bacterial small subunit ribosomal RNA
Source: RNAcentral